Long non-coding RNA from Peromyscus eremicus (cactus mouse), 733 nucleotides. RefSeq lists it as uncharacterized. The record is from RefSeq and is a predicted model, not a curated record. NCBI's taxonomy places the organism in Eukaryota, Metazoa, Chordata, Mammalia, Rodentia, Cricetidae. The transcript has 4 exons.
UCUUCAAAGUAAUCUAAAUUCCUCUACCAAGAGUGUCUAUAUUAAUAAGUAAAAAUAUGAAUCUUAAUGAGUUGUAUCUGUUUCUCUUAAUGAAGUUUAGCAUUUUAAAAUGUCACUUGUCUGACAAGAGAAGACUGUUUCAUAUCCGAGGGCACAGAUAAUCACAUCCAAUUGUAUUAAAACACACAGCUAAUUAGAUGUCUAAUUGCUAUAGUAUCUAUUUCUUUCUUCUCUCUGAAGUCUUCGGCACACCCACCACCCCACCACCUUACAUUGUGAACUUCAAGUAUGGAAAGGAAGAAGCUUACAUUUGCUGGUGGAAUUACUUGGAAUCACAGAUGUACAUUGAAGCUGGACCCAUUUCUACCCACAGAUGAUGAUAUUGCACUUGCAACCACAAGCAGAGAACUUUCACAGAGAAAUUACAAUGCCUAAACAAAAGACAUAGCAAGAAGAGGAAAACCUGGAUUACAAAAUUAUUUUUACGGCAUCAGUUUAUUUCUUCAAUAAAAAAAAUGUAGUCCAAGACUGUGGGAAAACUCCAUCACCCUCAGCUGAAGGAACUUGGUUCAAUCCAGAACUCAAGAGAUACCCAACAAAGAGCAAAUGGUUUUGGAUUAGAGACUUUUAAAAGAGGACAUCAUUGAAACUGGUAUAGUACACUGUAAUGGUGCUGAUGAUGGGGAUACAGAAGAUAUGGAAAGGUGGUUCUCCUAGACCUUAUUGGCAGGUU